RNAcentral lists this ribosomal RNA (724 nucleotides) under uncultured bacterium. RNAcentral describes it as "bacterial SSU rRNA". It matches the Rfam family "Bacterial small subunit ribosomal RNA", at positions 31 to 752 of the family's 1533-position model. The record is from RNAcentral.
GAACGCUAGCGGCAGGCUUAACACAUGCAAGUCGAGGGGUAACAGGGUGCUUGCACCGCUGACGACCGGCGCACGGGUGCGUAACGCGUAUGCAAUCUACCUUUUACAGGGGGAUAGCCUUUAGAAAUGAAGAUUAAUAUCCCAUAGUAAGUAACUAUGGCAUCAUGGUAACUUUAAAGUUUCGGCGGUAAAAGAUGAGUAUGCGUUCUAUUAGCUAGAUGGAGUGGUAACGGCACCCCAUGGCGACGAUAGAUAGGGGCCCUGAGAGGGGGAUCCCCCACACUGGUACUGAGACACGGACCAGACUCCUACGGGAGGCAGCAGUGAGGAAUAUUGGACAAUGGGCGAGAGCCUGAUCCAGCCAUGCCGCGUGCAGGAAGACUGCCCUAUGGGUUGUAAACUGCUUUUAAACGGGAAGAAACCCUCGCUCGUGAGCGAGGCUGACGGUACCGUAAGAAUAAGGAUCGGCUAACUCCGUGCCAGCAGCCGCGGUAAUACGGAGGAUCCAAGCGUUAUCCGGAAUCAUUGGGUUUAAAGGGUCCGUAGGUGGAUAAUUAAGUCAGGGGUGAAAGUCCGCAGCUCAACUGUAGAAUUGCCUUUGAUACUGGUUAUCUUGAAUUAUUGUGAAGUGGUUAGAAUAUGUAGUGUAGCGGUGAAAUGCAUAGAUAUUACAUAGAAUACCAAUUGCGAAGGCAGAUCACUAACAAUAUAUUGACACUGAUGG